This 429-nucleotide ribosomal RNA is filed under the name Actinomycetes bacterium. RNAcentral describes it as "Actinobacteria bacterium partial 16S ribosomal RNA". It matches the Rfam family "Bacterial small subunit ribosomal RNA", at positions 355 to 776 of the family's 1533-position model. Lineage: Bacteria; Bacillati; Actinomycetota; Actinomycetes. The record is from RNAcentral.
UAGGGAAUCUUCCGCAAUGGGCGAAAGCCUGACGGAGCAACGCCGCGUGAGUGAUGAAGGUCUUCGGAUCGUAAAACUCUGUUAUUAGGGAAGAACAAAUGUGUAAGUAACUAUGCACGUCUUGACGGUACCUAAUCAGAAAGCCACGGCUAACUACGUGCCAGCAGCCGCGGUAAUACGUAGGUGGCAAGCGUUAUCCGGAAUUAUUGGGCGUAAAGCGCGCGUAGGCGGUUUUUUAAGUCUGAUGUGAAAGCCCACGGCUCAACCGUGGAGUGUAAUUGGAAACUGGAAAACUUGAGUGCAGAAGAGGAAAGUGGAAUUCCAUGUGUAGCGGUGAAAUGCGCAGAGAUAUGGAGGAACACCAGUGGCGAAGGCGACUUUCUGGUCUGUAACUGACGCUGAUGUGCGAAAGCGUGGGGAUCAAACAGG